Molecule: ribosomal RNA, 245 nt
Filed under: uncultured bacterium
Lineage: Bacteria
Description: partial 16S ribosomal RNA
Rfam family: Bacterial small subunit ribosomal RNA
Source: RNAcentral
UACGAGUGCCCCAAGCGUUAUCCGGAUUUAUUGGGCGUAAAGCGUACGUAGGUGGUUUAUCGCAUCUCCUGUUAAAUCCCGAGGCUCAACCUCGGGGCUGCGGGAGAGAUGGCUAAACUAGAGACAGGGAGAGGCAAGUGGAAUUGCUGGUGUAGGGGUUAAAUCCGUUAAUAUCAGCAAGAACACCCAAAGUGAAGACAGCUUGCUAGAACUGUUCUGACACUAAGGUACGAAAGCGUGGGUAG